Molecule: ribosomal RNA, 265 nt
Filed under: uncultured bacterium
Lineage: Bacteria
Description: partial 16S ribosomal RNA
Rfam family: Bacterial small subunit ribosomal RNA
Source: RNAcentral
GCAAGUCGAACGUGAAGGUUGAAAUGAUUAAUUCGGUUUGAUUUUCGGCUGGAAAGUGGCGAACGGGUGAGUAACACGUGGGUAACCUGCCUCGAAGCGGGGGACAACCAUUGGAAACGAUGGCUAAUACCGCAUAGUCCCAUUUUUGCGAGAGCCAUUAUGGGUAAAACUCCGGUGCUUCGAGAGGAGCCUGCGUCCGAUUAGCUAGUUGGUGGGGUAAAAGCCCACCAAGGCGACGAUCGGUAGCUGGUCUGAGAGGACGAUC